UUGCCUCUGAUGAAAUCGGUUAACAAAUACCAUCUUUCGGGACUGAUUGGCUUUUUAAGCCAUGUUGACAUUUCCGCAAUUCUGAGGCAUUGUUUUAACGUUAUAUUAUUGAUUUGAACCUGUGAUGAAAUCAGAUAACAAACACACCAUCUUUCGGGACUGAAUGGCUUAAUGCCUUGUUGACAAUAUCUGCAAUUCUGAGGUUC
This 206-nucleotide long non-coding RNA is filed under the name Rosa chinensis. RNAcentral describes it as "sRNA RchiOBHm_Chr5g0000941". The stretch from base 116 to 206 matches the Rfam family "Small nucleolar RNA SNORD96 family". Lineage: Eukaryota; Viridiplantae; Streptophyta; Magnoliopsida; Rosales; Rosaceae. The record is from RNAcentral.